GAUGAAGAACGUAGCGAAAUGCGAUAAGUAAUGCGAAUUGCAGAAUCCGUGAGUCAUCGAAUCUUUGAACGCACAUUGCGCCCUUUGGUAUUCCGAAGGGCAUGCCUGUUCGAGCGUCAUUAUCACCCCUCAAGCCCCGGCUUGGUGUUGGGCUCUCGGUGGUCGUCUCCGACCACCCGUCUCAAAGAUAGUGACGGCGUCCCAGAGGGAACCGGUACGAGGAGCUUUCACGAGCAUGUACGCGGGACGACUCUGCGGGCGACGGUCUUAUUUACUUUAUAUACAAGUGUUGACCUCGGAUCAGGUAGGAAUGCCCGCUGAACUUAAGCAUAUCAAUAAGCGGAGGA
RNAcentral lists this unclassified non-coding RNA (347 nucleotides) under soil metagenome. Its description in RNAcentral is "partial contains 5.8S ribosomal RNA, internal transcribed spacer 2, and large subunit ribosomal RNA". The stretch from base 1 to 119 matches the Rfam family "5.8S ribosomal RNA", at positions 35 to 154 of the family's 154-position model. The record is from RNAcentral.